Molecule: long non-coding RNA, 1285 nt
Organism: Lutzomyia longipalpis
Lineage: Eukaryota; Metazoa; Arthropoda; Insecta; Diptera; Psychodidae
Exons: 2
Source: RefSeq, a predicted model, not a curated record
CCUUUCUCCUCAUCACAUUUCCGCCAUCCCCACCGAAUGAAUUGGAUCUACACACAUUUUUGGGCAUUUUCCUGGUUAAGGAUUUAUGCUCUAAAGAAAUUCAUGUCUUUUCUGCGCGGGAUGACUUGCAUCAUUGGGGAAAGAAGGUUUUUUCCCACGGGACUGGUUUCUUGCCCACACACUGACAAGUACCGCUUCCAUUGGAAAGUUGGUUGGCUUGCCGAUCAGCUGCAUGACACACAGCAGCAAAAAAUCUUCACAACCAUCGGACAUUGCACACACACAAACCAUCAGCGACUCUUGCACUCUCUUUGUGUCGUCUUCAUCUUUAGUGAUUUGGAUGCCAGCACAGUGUUUAGUCGUUUUUUAUCUUGCUCUAUGUAAUUUUGCAUGAAAUUUUCUAAUUUUUAUUGUGAUGUGUCCCUUUCUGAGGUGGGAAAUUUAUUUCCUACAGUUUUUUGACAAAAAAACAGCCCCAUGCUGAUAGCCUGAAGAAGCCAAUAAACAUUUGGCGAAACGCGUCGCUGGAUAGCAUAAAUGCUGUUUUUUCUUUCCUUUUUCUGACUGCGUACACCGAUUGAAAAAAUUCAACAAAUUACAACAGUCGUGAAAUAUUCUACAUCAACACCUUUUUCGGUUAUUUUCUCCUCAAUCAUCCUUUCUCCUCAUCACAUUUCCGCCAUCCCCACCGAAUGAAUUGGAUCUACACACAUUUUUGGGCAUUUUCCUGGUUAAGGAUUUAUGCUCUAAAGAAAUUCAUGUCUUUUCUGCGCGGGAUGACUUGCAUCAUUGGGGAAAGAAGGUUUUUUCCCACGGGACUGGUUUCUUGCCCACACACUGACAAGUACCGCUUCCAUUGGAAAGUUGGUUGGCUUGCCGAUCAGCUGCAUGACACACAGCAGCAAAAAAUCUUCACAACCAUCGGACAUUGCACACACACAAACCAUCAGCGACUCUUGCACUCUCUUUGUGUCGUCUUCAUCUUUAGUGAUUUGGAUGCCAGCACAGUGUUUAGUCGUUUUUUAUCUUGCUCUAUGUAAUUUUGCAUGAAAUUUUCUAAUUUUUAUUGUGAUGUGUCCCUUUCUGAGGUGGGAAAUUUAUUUCCUACAGUUUUUUGACAAAAAAACAGCCCCAUGCUGAUGUAAGUUGCUUUAAAAAGAAAAAUUUUAAAGAUUUUUUUCCCGCGAACAGAAAUUUUGUAACGCCCAAAUCAUUUCUUUUCCAUGUAAUAGAGCCUGAAGAAGCCAAUAAACAUUUGGCGAAACGCGUCGCUGGAUAGCAUAAA